Molecule: non-coding RNA, 580 nt
Organism: Taeniopygia guttata (zebra finch)
Lineage: Eukaryota; Metazoa; Chordata; Aves; Passeriformes; Estrildidae
Source: RefSeq, a predicted model, not a curated record
GGCAGCAUAUUUGGUCUGUGAACCUGCCACCUGACAGUUUCAUUCAGCACUUUUUUGGGCAUGUAAUGGGAGAGGGUGACUGUUCAUUGUGUUCCUUUGCUCCUCCUGCAGCAUUCAUGAUUCCAUGUACCUCCAUCAUAAUUGCCCCUCAGCCAUUUUAAGCUCAUUUAUAGGGGGUUGCCACUGACAGCUGACUGACAUCUCCACCCUCACACUAUCACAGGAGCAUUUGCCAUGUAUUCCUUCACUGGAUAAUCUUGGGGACUGGUUGAAGUAGAGGAUCCUAGCAGAGGCUCAUGUGACCUUUGAGAGGCAGAGUCACCCAUCAGAUCAGCAGCCCUGUGAUGGCCAGCACAGCCAUCAGCAGACUGCUGGGACAGCUCCCAUGGACCUCAGCUCCUUCACUUCCCAAAAGCAAGCACUGAAGAGGGAACAAAGCUCUGGGACUACAAGAGUACAAGUGCUCCAGAUUUAACAGAACUUACAUUUGAUUUACACAAAUAAUCUGACAAUGAAAAGCAUAGUCUCCACAAGGCACUGACUUCAAAAAUCAACAUAUUUAUGCUGUCAUGAAUGAGAA